This is a long non-coding RNA of Culex pipiens pallens (northern house mosquito), 2419 nucleotides long. RefSeq lists it as uncharacterized. The record is from RefSeq and is a predicted model, not a curated record. Lineage: Eukaryota; Metazoa; Arthropoda; Insecta; Diptera; Culicidae. The transcript is spliced from 4 exons.
ACGGUAGCUUUCGGCCAGGGAAGUUUCGUUGACUGCGGAUGGCGGGGUCAGACCGGAUUGAGUGCGACGCAGAUUUAAAGGUGUCUGGGAUGUGUUGGGAAAGUCAACUCUUUCUUUCGGUUGCAUCGGCUUAGGGUAAUCCGUGCCACGACCGGCAACCGAACGAGCGACUCGUGCGUGACACGGGACGGUCGUACUUUUUCGGCGAUCCCAGCGCCAAAACCGAGAACUUCAACGACCAAUCGGUACUUGCUGCCGAUCGCUAUCAGAUCGACCGGACGCGAGGUGGAGGUUCACUUCUCCGCCGGGAACAUGACAGUGUUGGACGACCCGGACACGCUCAACUUGGAAGCGACCUUUCUUAUUCAUCAAGGCGCCAAUCAUCUGCAAUGACGUGCGGCGGAAGAACGCCGUAACAGGGAUCGCCAAGCUGUCCGCUGGGGAGAUGGAGUGCCGCAAUCGACCCUGGUUUAUCGAACCUCUACGUUCGACUGCGAAGACUCCUUCUACGCAAGAACAAUCUCGCCGAUCAGCACCGUUACGCCAAUUUGGUGCUCAACGAAGACACGCGUCGUCAUAAAGAGCGAGGACGUCUCAGCAACGGCGUGUCCCCUGCCGGAUGACACUUCUCAUCGACACGUGAUGGAAGUCUUCAGCGCCAGCUGGACCCACAAGCAUCCCCACUUAGGAAUUGAACCCUCGAAUGUGAUCUUCGAUGAUUUCCUAACGCAGGUCAACGGCGCGUACUCCUGACCAAGCGACCGUCAAAGUAAUUUGCUCUAACCGCCGCCGAGGAGUGUCCGGAUCAGAACGCGUGCGUCAAAGAGUCUAUCUGGUGCGAUGGGAUCGCGCAGUGUCCGUCUGGCGAGGACGAUUUGUUCACCGACGAGCAUUUGCCGACCGACUUACUGGCUUCAACGUGCUGCUUCUGCUGCUGUGCUGCAACUGACCGCAAACCUGUACUCGCGAAAUCCGUCGCAACUGCCGCCGGACGUCGGUGCUGCAGACACAGCUCAGGUCGCUCAGCAUGAUGGACAUGGCAGUGUUUGACGAGAAUGAAGUGAUUUGCUAACCAAGGGACAAUUAUGUACGGUACGUCACCACGGUCUGAACACGCGCCGAACAGAAUUGUUCCCCCACCGAGUACUCUUCAAGCUCCUUCCGGUUUCUGCUCUGACACUUCCCGCAAAUUUGCGCUCUUUAUGAAAACGUGUGAUCUAGGUGGAAGAAUAGAUUUAGCUGAUCUCGUGAAGAAACGGAUGCUCGACGUAAGUUGUCUCUGAGUAUAGUUGAACGAAGCAUGAAUUAAUUUGUUUUAUGAGGGGACUUGAUUGAGCUCGCGAUCAUUCAGGUCCGGUUGAUGACAAGGAAGCAAAUUAAUAAUAAUAAGAAACGGAGGAAAAGUACAACAUACUGGUUCUAAGCCAAUCGCCAAAGUUAGCGUCGUUUAUUUUAUUCGGCCAGGACUGAAAUCAUGGCAGUUAUGUGGCCCUAAAUAUAGACAAUUGACGGAAAUAAUGGAAAUAAUAAAGUGAUUUAUUACAAAGCAAGGUUUGUUUAUGUUCCUAAUAAUUGAUGACAACUCUAUAUCUAUCCGCUCAACUCCACAGAAAAUGAGCAAAAUUACACAUUUUUAGAGAUAAAUUUUGACCUUCAUAGGUAAUUUUGAACAUUUUCUGUUGCAAAAUUAAUCAUUAUAUGAGGUAAAAUUAUCUCAUAUAUGAGUUAAAUUUACACAUUUUCAGAGGUAAUAUUAAAGCUUUUUUCUGACAUAAAAGAUGUACUCCUUCCCAGAUGUAAUAUUACCACGAUUUUUUUUUUCUGUGUGUUUUGGCGGCAGAAGCCUGUUCCGCGGCCAUGGUCAAGUUCCUCGUUGUACUUACUUGCCACAGCACAAACUGUUCCGCGGCCAUUGUCAAGUUCCUCGAUUCUUGCUGCCACCUGCGACAAUUUGUGCACUCAUCUAUGCAGCAGUACAAAUACAUCUCCAGCUUCACUGCACCGUAUUUUUCUGCUGCGAGAACUUUAUGGAAACGUGCUUCUUUUCAUUGAAAAGAACCAUCACCUGUUGAGUAUGUAUUUUAAUGCUGAACACUUGAUGCAGAACUUUUUCAUGCUUUUUUGUUUUGAAAAAACCCCUAAAGCAAUUCGAUUGCCACAAAUCGCUUCCAAACGUGAACAAUAACAAACAUUUAUGACGGCUGUCGGAAGGAUGUGUAUCAAACCAGCGAAAACUUUCGCUGGAAAAGAAACCGUUUCGGAAAUAACAAACCAGCGAAACCAAGUUGCUGGAUUUGAUUUCGCGCAGCCACCUUUUUCAGCGAAAAAUUUCGCUGGUUUAGAGAAAAAUUUCGCUGAUAUCAGCAAAACCAACCCAGCAAAAUUCGGUCGCUGGUUUGGCGAUCGAUCCCCUUUCCGU